UGAGAGAUAGUUUAUAUUUAGAACAUUCGACUGUUAAUCGAAAAGUUAAUAUCUCAG
Molecule: transfer RNA, 57 nt
Filed under: Acrobeloides varius
Lineage: Eukaryota; Metazoa; Nematoda; Chromadorea; Rhabditida; Cephalobidae
Description: tRNA-Asn
Source: RNAcentral